GGGAGCUUUUCCUGAGGCUCCAGGAGAAAAAGAGAAUCCACCUCCUGUGGAAGAAGGGACAGAUCCAGUUGCAUCUCAGACUCCCAGUUUCUCGGUAGUAAAUAUCAGGUUGGAACAAGACAUGAAAUCAACUGAGCCCAGCCUAAGGCCCGGAACAGAGAUUACAUUAGAGGCAUUAAACUGUGACCUACUUGCAAGAUCCUGGACAUGCUAUAAGGACCAAGAUUUUCAAGCUUCAGCCAAAGGCAUCAGAUAAUGAAAGUAUGGAUGAAAAUGGCCCCUGCAUUGCUCAGAAUCUUCCUCUAAAAUUAAAGACUUUUGUUCUGAGUCAUAGCCCACCUUGUCAGCUGCAUUGACCACAAGGUGAUGAGAUUUAAGCAGAGUCAGACUUCGCAUUUUGCUGACAUGCACAGGCAUUGAACAGUCUCAGAGCUACUACUCUACAUCACCUAGUUUUCAUUUGUUGGUUACAUCCCAUUAACACAUUUUUAUAUCUUUUUUCAUAACCAUAACACUCAGUAAGUAAGUAGUUUGCCUUCUUACUUUUAACACAAAAUGAUCUCAAAGAAGGUAGUAGAUUAAAGCAGUGCUACAAUGAAUCAUGGAUUUAUAUAUGAGUUCCUGAACCUUUAGUUAUUUAAGCCUGUAAAUGACUACAAAUGGAAGAGUCAUUGCAUUCUCCCCAGAUUAAUUGAGGUGAAUACAAAAAAAAAAACUAUUUCUCUUUGAAAUGGCAUAACUGGCAAUAGUCAGUAUGCCCUUUGUUUAAAAAAGUGGCAGAAUUGUCAAAGAAAUUACUUAAAACAUGGAGUUUCUCUUGUUCUUAUGUUGUUUUAUCAUUCUCUGUAAACACAGACUUAGUGUAUGUACUAAGAACUGACAUCAAAGACUGGUGGAGCAAAUGAGAUUUUUUCCAUUAAUGUAAACACUGUUUAGAUUAGAUAUUCUGCAGAGAGAACUGAAGUUUCCAGUUAAUCUUUCAAAUACCUAUGUCAUUUGUUGAACAGUGUAAUGCUAUCUAACAUGGUACUUCUGUUCUAAGUGUAAAGGGAACAUUUGCAAAACAUGUCACCCAUUACUGAUUGCAAGCUCUAUUUACUGUUUAAUCAGCUAAUAUUUAUGUUAGUUGUCUUACUUCUGUUCUGUAUAACUGCUGACAUACUGCAUAAAUAAGGAUAAAAUUUAGGGAGAUCAUCUUAUACUGUUCUAAACUGGGACAAUGUCCCAGUAUUCCCCAGAUGAGAUGAAGUUCAUAUUCUUCUGCUGUUAACCACACACUAAAGGAUUAUUAGAAAAUCUAGUCAUUAAGGAUUUUGUGCAAUUGCCAGAGAAAUAAGAGUGUGCUGUCCUUCAUGUUGCUGUUUUUUCAACCUUAGUGCUAUCACCAAAUCUGGGAAAUAAAUUUUUCUAGUUUUCUGUGGUUUAAAGGUUACUUCUAAGAUUAAUUCAGAAUAGAGAAAAGGUAAUCAAAGUCAAAGAAGUCAUGUGAUUUUAUAGUGAACCUGCAGCUGAGAGCUUGUGCUACAUUAAGAGCAGGUGUAUGUUGGAUGGUAGUGGGAAAUAAAGCUUCUUACUCUUGCAGGCACUUUUGCCUGCUGUUAUUCCCUACAUGCAGCUUGCAAAACAGAAUACUUCAAGAAAAUAGAGUGAAUCUUAGAAUAUAUAUGCCUCCAUCAUUAGAUUUGUGAAGAGAAUUCAGCACAGUUUUUAGUCCCGAAGAGGUGCCUGCAGGGGCGUAGAGAAGAUUGAAUAUCAACUGAGAAAAGUUACUUUAUUAGCAGUUCUUCAGUAAAACAGAAAAGUAAAAUUAAUGAAUUAAUAGCAAAAGGAUUGACAAUCCCUUAAGGGGUUCAGCAGUUUGUGUGAAUGAGUCAUGUCACUUAGCAGAGGAGUCUAGAUUCACUUCUUCACUUUAUUUUUGCACAAAUAUGGGAUAAAACACAAAAUGGAGAUUAAUCUUCAGAGGUAAAAGAGAAUACCAGAACCCGUGGGACUGCAUAUAUUUUUUCAGAAAGGACAGUUUAGAAAAAAAUUUCCUACCAUCUCGUUGGUCUUUUUCUUGAAUGAUGCUAUUUUAUGGAAAUAUAAAUGAGCAGCAUAGUCUGCAAACUGAGCACCAUAAAUAGUGUGAAGAUUUGGAGUUAGAGAUAACCUUGUUAAAUUGUUCUGUCUUUCCAUUCUCAUUUCAAGUCUCAUUAAAGUAUGUCAU
Numida meleagris (helmeted guineafowl) is the source of this 2209-nucleotide long non-coding RNA. RefSeq lists it as uncharacterized. Lineage: Eukaryota; Metazoa; Chordata; Aves; Galliformes; Numididae. The record is from RefSeq and is a predicted model, not a curated record. The transcript is spliced from 4 exons.